This 467-nucleotide ribosomal RNA is filed under the name uncultured Rhodocyclaceae bacterium. RNAcentral's name for it is "bacterial SSU rRNA". It matches the Rfam family "Bacterial small subunit ribosomal RNA", at positions 917 to 1381 of the family's 1533-position model. Lineage: Bacteria; Pseudomonadati; Pseudomonadota; Betaproteobacteria; Rhodocyclales; Rhodocyclaceae. The record is from RNAcentral.
CGGGACCGCACAAGCGGUGGAUGAUGUGGAUUAAUUCGAUGCAACGCGAAAACCUUACCUACCCUUGACAUGUCCGGAAUCCCGAAGAGAUUUGGGAGUGCUCGCAAGAGAACCGGAACACAGGUGCUGCAUGGCUGUCGUCAGCUCGUGUCGUGAGAUGUUGGGUUAAGUCCCGCAACGAGCGCAACCCUUGUCAUUAGUUGCCAUCAUUUGGUUGGGCACUCUAAUGAGACUGCCGGUGACAAACCGGAGGAAGGUGGGGAUGGCGUCAAGUCCUCAUGGCCCUUAUGGGUAGGGCUUCACACGUCAUACAAUGGUCGGUACAGAGGGUUGCCAACCCGCGAGGGGGAGCUAAUCCCACAAAGCCGACUCGUAGUCCGGAUCGCAGUCUGCAACUCGACUGCGUGAAGUCGGAAUCGCUAGUAAUCGUGGAUCAGCAUGUCACGGUGAAUACGUUCCCGGGUCUU